UACGUAGGGUGCGAGCGUUGUCCGGAAUUACUGGGCGUAAAGAGCUCGUAGGUGGUUUGUCGCGUUGUCCGUGAAAACUCACAACUCAAUUGUGGGCGUGCGGGCGAUACGGGCAGACUGGAGUACUGCGGGGGAGACUGGAAUUCCUGGUGUAGCGGUGGAAUGCGCAGAUAUCAGGAGGAACACCGGUGGCGAAGGCGGGUCUCUGGGCAGUAACUGACGCUGAGGAGCGAAAGCGUGGGGAGCGAACAGG
This 253-nucleotide ribosomal RNA is filed under the name uncultured bacterium. Its description in RNAcentral is "partial 16S ribosomal RNA". It matches the Rfam family "Bacterial small subunit ribosomal RNA", at positions 524 to 776 of the family's 1533-position model. The record is from RNAcentral.